GAAGCUGACCAGACAGCCGCCGUUUCGUCGUCGUCCUUGGGGGGAGGGGGGGGGGGGGGAGGAAAGCCCGGGCUCCAUGGGGCGGGGUGCCAGGUACCGCCGGGGGGGAAACCCCACGACCAGUGCAACAGAGAGAAAACCGCCGAUGGCCCACGUAAGUGGGAUCAGGUAAGGGUGAAAGGGUGCGGUAAGAGCGCACCGCGCGGCUGGUAACAGUCCGUGGCACGGUAAACUCCACCCGGAGCAAGGCCAAAUAGGGGUUCAUAAGGUACGGCCCGUACUGAACCCGGGUAGGCUGCUUGAGCCAGUGAGCGAUUGCUGGCCUAGAUGAAUGACUGUCCACGCCAGAACCCGGCUUAUCGGGCAGUUUCACUU
This 375-nucleotide RNase P RNA is filed under the name Salmonella enterica subsp. enterica serovar Typhimurium. RNAcentral's name for it is "RNase P RNA component class A". It matches the Rfam family "Bacterial RNase P class A". From Rfam's summary of the family: Ribonuclease P (RNase P) is a ubiquitous endoribonuclease, found in archaea, bacteria and eukarya as well as chloroplasts and mitochondria. Its best characterised activity is the generation of mature 5'-ends of tRNAs by cleaving the 5'-leader elements of precursor-tRNAs. Cellular RNase Ps are ribonucleoproteins. Lineage: Bacteria; Pseudomonadati; Pseudomonadota; Gammaproteobacteria; Enterobacterales; Enterobacteriaceae. The record is from RNAcentral.